Molecule: ribosomal RNA, 311 nt
Filed under: Tricharina gilva
Lineage: Eukaryota; Fungi; Ascomycota; Pezizomycetes; Pezizales; Pyronemataceae
Description: eukaryotic LSU rRNA
Rfam family: 5.8S ribosomal RNA (bases 1-90)
Source: RNAcentral
GUGUGAAUUGCAGAAUUCAGUGAAUCAUCGAAUCUUUGAACGCACAUUGCGCCUCCUGGUAUUCCGGGAGGCAUGCCUGUUCGAGCGUCAUUAAAAUCCACUCAAGCUCUUUCUGCUUGGUCUUGGAGGAAGAGUCUGCUUGGAAUUGGAGGCUUAUGUCUCCUUUCUGAAAUACAGUGGCGAAUUGACUGUGCUGUAAACGUAGUAACUUUACCCGUUGAAAGCAUGUUCACAUUCCGCCAAAACCCCCUCUAUUAUCUAGUUUGACCUCGGAUCAGGUAGGGAUACCCGCUGAACUUAAGCAUAUCAWA